RNAcentral lists this ribosomal RNA (423 nucleotides) under Agrobacterium pusense. RNAcentral's name for it is "bacterial SSU rRNA". It matches the Rfam family "Bacterial small subunit ribosomal RNA", at positions 157 to 614 of the family's 1533-position model. Lineage: Bacteria; Pseudomonadati; Pseudomonadota; Alphaproteobacteria; Hyphomicrobiales; Rhizobiaceae. The record is from RNAcentral.
CUGGAAUUAAUACCGCAAACGCCCUACGGGGGAAAGAUUUAUCGGGGAAGGAUUGGCCCGCGUUGGAUUAGCUAGUUGGUGGGGUAAAGGCCUACCAAGGCGACGAUCCAUAGCUGGUCUGAGAGGAUGAUCAGCCACAUUGGGACUGAGACACGGCCCAAACUCCUACGGGAGGCAGCAGUGGGGAAUAUUGGACAAUGGGCGCAAGCCUGAUCCAGCCAUGCCGCGUGAGUGAUGAAGGCCUUAGGGUUGUAAAGCUCUUUCACCGAUGAAGAUAAUGACGGUAGUCGGAGAAGAAGCCCCGGCUAACUUCGUGCCAGCAGCCGCGGUAAUACGAAGGGGGCUAGCGUUGUUCGGAAUUACUGGGCGUAAAGCGCACGUAGGCGGAUAUUUAAGUCAGGGGUGAAAUCCCGCAGCUCAACU